AUUGAACGCUGGCGGCAGGCCUAACACAUGCAAGUCGAACGGUAACAGGAAGAAGCUUGCUUCUUUGCUGAUGAGUGGCGGACGGGUGAGUAAUGUCUGGGAAACUGCCUGAUGGAGGGGGAUAACUACUGGAAACGGUAGCUAAUACCGCAUAACGUCGCAAGACCAAAGAGGGGGACCUUCGGGCCUCUUGCCAUCGGAUGUGUCCAGAUGGGAUUAGCUAGUAGGUGGGGUAACGGCUCACCUAGGCGACGAUCCCUAGCUGGUCUGAGAGGAUGACCAGCCACACUGGAACUGAGACACGGUCCAGACUCCUACGGGAGGCAGCAGUGGGGAAUAUUGCACAAUGGGCGAAAGCCUGAUGCAGCCAUGCCGCGUGUAUGAAGAAGGCCUUCGGGUUGUAAAGUACUUUUGGCGGGGAGGAAGGGAGUAAAGGUAAUACCUUUGCUCAUUGACGUUACCCGAAGAAGAAGCAACGGCUAACUCCGUG
Molecule: ribosomal RNA, 490 nt
Filed under: uncultured bacterium
Lineage: Bacteria
Description: partial 16S ribosomal RNA
Rfam family: Bacterial small subunit ribosomal RNA
Source: RNAcentral